CAAAGGAAGCGAUUCCGGCGGGGGAUGGGCAUGCGGCGCAUUAGCUAGUCGGCGGGGUAACGGCCCACCGAGGCGACGAUGCGUAGGGGUUCUGAGAGGAAGGUCCCCCACACUGGUACUGAGACACGGACCAGACUCCUACGGGAGGCAGCAGUGAGGAAUAUUGGUCAAUGGGCGGGAGCCUGAACCAGCCAAGUCGCGUGAGGGAAGACGGUCCUAUGGAUUGUAAACCUCUUUUGCCGGGGAGCAACGGGGUCCUUGCGAGGGCCUGAUGAGAGUACCCGGAGAAAAAGCAUCGGCUAACUCCGUGCCAGCAGCCGCGGUAAUACGGAGGAUGCGAGCGUUAUCCGGAUUUAUUGGGUUUAAAGGGUGCGUAGGCGGGCUGUUAAGUCAGCGGUCAAAUGUCGGGGCUCAACCCCGGCCUGCCGUUGAAACUGGUGGCCUCGAGUGGGCGAGAAGUAUGCGGAAUGCGUGGUGUAGCGGUGAAAUGCAUAGAUAUCACGCAGAACUCCGAUUGCGAAGGCAGCAUACCGGCGCCCGACUGACGCUGAGGCACGAAAGCGUGGGUAUCGAACAGGAUUAGAUACCCUGGUAGUCCACGCAGUAAACGAUGAAUGCUAGCUGUCCGGGGCUUCGGUCCUGG
RNAcentral lists this ribosomal RNA (643 nucleotides) under uncultured bacterium. Its description in RNAcentral is "bacterial SSU rRNA". It matches the Rfam family "Bacterial small subunit ribosomal RNA", at positions 202 to 842 of the family's 1533-position model. The record is from RNAcentral.